This 971-nucleotide ribosomal RNA is filed under the name uncultured eukaryote. RNAcentral describes it as "bacterial SSU rRNA". It matches the Rfam family "Eukaryotic small subunit ribosomal RNA", at positions 589 to 1455 of the family's 1831-position model. The record is from RNAcentral.
AAAAGAUGGCGUCUAUUAGCGUAUGUUGAGCUUAAAACGCUCUGUAGUAUGGAUGUCGGAAAUGGACUCCUUGGGUGUCUGUCACUCCAUAUGUGAGUGUUCGUGACCCACAGUGUUUUACCGUUUCUAUUUUCGACUGGAAUCGGGUAUGUUUUUUGUGCAUUUACUUGCACGAUGUGCCUACACUCCUCACAAGGGAGUGGAACGGUUUCGGUCAUGUUACUGUGAAGAAAUCAGAGUGCUCAAAGCAGGCAUUUGUCCGAAUGGAUUAGCAUGGGAUAACCACCCUUGACCUCGGUCUUUGGGAGUUGGUUCAAAAGAUCGAUGGCGCUUGAUUAAUAGGAACAGUCGGGGGCAUUCGUAUUCCGAAGUCAGAGGUGAAAUUCUUGGAUUUUCGGAAGACGAACAUAUGCGAAAGCAUUUGCCAAGGAUGUUUUCAUUAAUCAAGAACGAAAGUUCGGGGAUCGAAGACGAUCAGAUACCGUCGUAGUCCGAACCAUAAACGAUGCCGACUAGGGAUUGGAAGAUGUGCUUUUGCCAUCUUUCAGCACCUUCCGAGAAAUCAAAGUUUUUGGGUUCCGGGGGGAGUAUGGUCGCAAGGCUGAAACUUAAAGGAAUUGACGGAAGGGCACCACCAGGAGUGGAGCCUGCGGCUUAAUUUGACUCAACACGGGGAAACUUACCAGGUCCAGACAUAGGAAGGAUUGACAGAUUGACAGCUCUUUCUUGAUUCUAUGGGUGGUGGUGCAUGGCCGUUCUUAGUUGGUGGAGUGAUUUGUCUGGUUAAUUCCGAUAACGAACGAGACCUUCACCUCUAAAUAGUGUGCAUCUCUAUACUUCUUGUGAGGUGAGUUUUGGAGAAAAGUGGGUUCGCUCGCAAUUUUCCUCUCUCUUACUUGAACGAGAUGUCCUUUUUAAUCACACUUCUUAGAGGGACGAUGUGCGUUAGCACCAAGGAGUUGGACGCCAUA